Molecule: long non-coding RNA, 1586 nt
Filed under: Anas platyrhynchos platyrhynchos (common mallard)
Lineage: Eukaryota; Metazoa; Chordata; Aves; Anseriformes; Anatidae
Description: lncRNA (ENSAPLG00000022000.1)
Source: RNAcentral
CCCACCCAUGAGAAAGCAAAGUGUGCAUUUCUUUGAACAUGCUGUUUUGGGGCAACUUAGAAUUCUUUCUUUUUCUUAUGACAGCAGCAGGAAGGGUACCUAUAUGAGAAGGAGCUCCACAUGCCUCCAUGAAUGGCUAUCCACACCUGUCUUGGUGAUGCAGAGACCCUAUGCUUUCACUUUUGUCACUCGUACAGCCUUUUGGAGGGACAAUGUGCUGAGACCCCAGGAAAACUGCACAGUGCUUGAAGAAGAUACAUCAAAAAUCACUUUUGUUCUGAGAUCAGAUCAGGUGCAUCCAGGCUGGACUGCCUUGAGAGGACACUCUACCAGAAGAGAUGUGCCAGGACUACACUUAGUCUGCUCUAGUAGUGGAUAGGGAUUCAGCCUUCAGAUCUAGUGGUCCAAAGCAACCUGCCAACAAAUGGAGAAAUCACGUAUGCCAUGUCCUGAGCGUUGACUGAUCCAACCAGCACAGCUCUGCAGAGCCCUUCUAGCACAUCCCACCACUGGCUCACUCUGAUGGAACUUGCACAGCUGACCCAAUUCACUUAUCCCAGCCUGGUUGCUUUGACAGUCUCUUUGCCUUAGGAAGAACACUGCUUCUCUACACUUGCUUUCAGAGAAAGGCAAGCUGUUAUUCAUUAUUUCUAUUUCUUUUUCUUUUCCUGUUGUAAUUUUCGUCAAGUAGGUAUACCACCUAAAAGACAAAUGGGAAGAAGAAGGAAAUGGCCCAUUCUUUUACUGUUUAAAAUGUUGUUUCGUCUGUGUCACUUUAAUUCUAAAACAUGAGAUGCAAGGGUACAGAGAACACUGGUGUUUAUCUUGAAUCUCUGCCUUUGUUUUGAAUCAAAAACACAGCACCCAGGCCAAAGACAAUACUAAACAUCUACCGCUGAGGUCACUGAUCUGCAAUUUGUUGUGGUGACAGAUCCAAUAUUGUGCUUGGGGAACAGACUGGAUGGCUGUUAAUGCACUAUUAUAGGCACAGUUGGGAAAUUGGCUGAGCACCAGGUAACUGGAAGAACUGGAGCUUAUUACACAAGUCCAAGAGUGUUUUAACUUGUGGGUUGAUUGCUAACAUGGGGAGAGCUUUUAAAAUGUUAAUUGAUUUUUUUUCUUAAUAAUAACACAAACCAUCUGUAGCUUUGAACUUAAAUUUAACUUCUAUAAUUAAGUCAGAGCCUUCUACUACAAGAACUGUCAUACACCAAUCUUUUCAUACUAAUUUUGUUUCAGUUUGUCACAUCAUUUAAAGCCCUGGCCCACCAGAGCAAGGCUUUAAUUAACAGUAAAAUAGUUUUAAGGGAACCUCUGUAUGAAGCAUGAGGAAUUGAGUUUGGACCUGUUUGGAUAACACAGAUAAUUGACAUAGUAUUUUGUGUCUUACCAAUGUGUUUGUGGAAAGUAAGUUGUUACAUUUAUCUAUGGAUUAUCGAUGAUUAACUUUCUAGCCACUGCUUAAACCUCUUUUUUAAUGUGCAAAUUUCUCACAGCCACACACUAUACUGCAUUUGUCCAACUCUGAAAAGUCAAGACAUUAGCAACCCAUGCAACAACAAAUAAAAAUUACUGGGGAUGGGGCA